RNAcentral lists this ribosomal RNA (687 nucleotides) under uncultured bacterium. RNAcentral's name for it is "bacterial SSU rRNA". It matches the Rfam family "Bacterial small subunit ribosomal RNA", at positions 637 to 1338 of the family's 1533-position model. The record is from RNAcentral.
CGGGCUUGAGGACAGCAGGGGAGGAGGAAUUCCCGGUGGAGCGGUAAAAUGCGUAGAUAUCGGGAAGAACACCAAUGGCGAAGGCGACCUCCUGGGCUGUUCCUGACGCUGAGGCGCGAAAGCGUGGGGAUCAAACAGGAUUAGAUACCCUGGUAGUCCACGCCGCAACCGGUGGACACUAGGUAUGGGGGGUAUCGACCCUCUCCGUGCCGUAGUUAACGCGUUAAGUGUCCCGCCUGGGGAUUACGGCCGCAAGGCUAAAAUUCAAAGGAAUUGACGGGGGCCCGCACAAGCAGCGGAGCGUGUGGUUUAAUUCGAUGAUACGCGAAGAACCUUACCAGGGCAUGACAUGCUUGGGAAUCCCCCUGAAAGGGGGGAGUGCCUUCGGGAGCCCUUGCACAGGUGCUGCAUGGUUGUCGUCAGCUCGUGUCGUGAGAUGUUGGGUUAAGUCCCGCAACGAGCGCAACCCUCGUCCUGUGUUGCUCUCUCACAGGAGACUGCCCCGCAAAACGGGGAGGAAGGUGGGGAUGACGUCAAGUCAGCAUGGCCCUUAAGCCCUGGGCAACACACACGCUACAAUGGGCGGUACAGAGGGAAGCUAAGGAGCAAUCCGGAGCUAAUCCCACAAACCCGUCCUCAGUUCGGAUUGGAGGCUGCAACUCGCCUCCAUGAAGUCGGAGUUGCUAG